UCCGUGUAAAGUGAGUGCAUUUAUUGAGAAUUAAUGGAAAAUAUCUUAUUCUCUCUGAUAUUCACUCCUGAAAUUCAUUGAAGAACACAUGGCAGGAGCAGGGUCGUAUUCGUGCUCCUAUAUGCAGAGAAUGGAGAGCUGGAACUGCAGUGAAAACACAAUUAAUAUAUUUAUAGGACAAAAGGACCCCUUACUGGAACAGCUCGGCACAGCGCUCUCACUCAAUCAGGAACGUGAGGAGAAGUCGAGUGGAGAGGGUAAGACAACCAGGUAGGCCGCGAUCAAAUGGACACUACUAAAAGUAAAGCAGUUAAUCUCGUAAAACCUCGACGGUUAAUCCUGUCAUCUUCUUCAGUCAUUUUCACUCAGUGGCGAAAAUUUCGCAGGACAAUCGCUUCAGUUCGUUUUCAGUAAAGAAGAAAAAUCGGUCCAAGUUCGAUUUUAACAGCUUUUAAAAUAAUGAGUAGAAUUGUUAUCUUUUCCAAUUAUGAUACCAUUCACUUUAAGCUGAUAUUUUUAA
Molecule: long non-coding RNA, 520 nt
Organism: Belonocnema kinseyi
Lineage: Eukaryota; Metazoa; Arthropoda; Insecta; Hymenoptera; Cynipidae
Exons: 3
Source: RefSeq, a predicted model, not a curated record